AUUGAACGCUGGCGGCAGGCCUAACACAUGCAAGUCGAGCGAGCGGCGGACGGUUGAGUACUGUCUGGGAAACUGCCUGUUGGAGGGGGAUAACUACUGGAAAAGGUUGCUAAUACCGCAUACCAUCGGAUUUGCCCAGAUGGCAUUAGCUAGUGGGUGGGGUAACGGCCCACCUAGGCGACGAUCCCUAGCUGGUCUGAGAGGAUGACCGGCCACACUGGAACUGAGACACGGUCCAGACUCCUACGGGAGGCAGCAGUGGGGAAUAUUGCACAAUGGGCGCAAGCCUGAUGCAGCCAUGCCGCGUGUAUGAAGAAGGCCUUCGGGUUGUAAAGUACUUUCAGCGGGGAGGCGUUACCCGCAGAAGAAGCACCGGCUAACUCCGUGCCAGCCGCCGCGGUAAUAC
This 406-nucleotide ribosomal RNA is filed under the name uncultured bacterium. RNAcentral describes it as "partial 16S ribosomal RNA". It matches the Rfam family "Bacterial small subunit ribosomal RNA", at positions 30 to 526 of the family's 1533-position model. The record is from RNAcentral.